AAGGGAAUACCGGGGCCGCGUCCCGUCCUCCCACCCAUGAAUACGCGAGGCCGAUCAUCGAGUUACUUCGGCGGAUCUUUUCGCCGCCGAGCAACCGUUCAAAACCCUAUUUCAACGUGUCGUCUGAGAAGAAAACACAACGAAUCA
RNAcentral lists this unclassified non-coding RNA (147 nucleotides) under uncultured fungus. Its description in RNAcentral is "sequence contains ITS1". Lineage: Eukaryota; Fungi. The record is from RNAcentral.